Long non-coding RNA from Penaeus chinensis, 170 nucleotides. RefSeq lists it as uncharacterized. The record is from RefSeq and is a predicted model, not a curated record. NCBI's taxonomy places the organism in Eukaryota, Metazoa, Arthropoda, Malacostraca, Decapoda, Penaeidae. The transcript has 3 exons.
CCGACUCUGAGGACUCUUGAGUUGAUCGACGACAUCACAGACCGGACAACGCAUGCGCAGACCCGGCUGGUCGACGAGACAGACCACAUCUCGACGGUCACUCGAAAGACCAGGACCUGGCCCUACUGGUUGGUGAUCACCCUACUCUUUGUGGCCAUAAUAAUUGUUGU